UACGGAGGGUGCGGUCGUUAAUCGGAAUCACUGGGCGUAAAGCGCACGUAGGCGGCCUAUCAAGUCGGAUGUGAAAGCCCUCGGCUCAACCGGGGAACUGCAUUCGAAACUGACAGGCUGGAGUCUCGGAGAGGGGGGCGGAAUUCCCGGUGUAGGAGUGAAAUCCGUAGAUAUCGGGAGGAACACCAGUGGCGAAGGCGGCCACCUGGACGAUGACUGACGCUGAGGUGCGAAAGCGUGGGUAGCAAACAGG
RNAcentral lists this ribosomal RNA (253 nucleotides) under uncultured bacterium. Its description in RNAcentral is "partial 16S ribosomal RNA". It matches the Rfam family "Bacterial small subunit ribosomal RNA", at positions 524 to 776 of the family's 1533-position model. The record is from RNAcentral.